UACGUAGGUGGCAAGCGUUGUCCGGAUUUAUUGGGUUUAAAGGGUGCGUAGGCGGUGACCUAAGUCAGUUGUGAAAUACUUCAGCUUAACUGGAGAGGUGCAAUUGAUACUGGGUUACUUGAGUACUGAUGAGGUAUGCGGAAUGGACGGUGUAGCGGUGAAAUGCUUAGAUAUCGUCCAGAACACCGAUAGCGAAGGCAGCAUACUAAGGAGUAACUGACGCUGAGGCACGAAAGUGUGGGGAUCAAACAGG
This 253-nucleotide ribosomal RNA is filed under the name uncultured bacterium. RNAcentral's name for it is "partial 16S ribosomal RNA". It matches the Rfam family "Bacterial small subunit ribosomal RNA", at positions 524 to 776 of the family's 1533-position model. The record is from RNAcentral.